This 3867-nucleotide ribosomal RNA is filed under the name Triticum aestivum (bread wheat). Its description in RNAcentral is "partial small subunit ribosomal RNA". Lineage: Eukaryota; Viridiplantae; Streptophyta; Magnoliopsida; Poales; Poaceae. The record is from RNAcentral.
AUGGAGUUCUCCCGCCGCGGCCCAGCCACCGACGACCCUCCGCCGCACGGGGAGGCAAUGCUGGUGAUGAGGGAUGCUUUGCUGUGGCAGCUCCAGAAGGACCGCCUUCGCCAGGAGAUCAUCAUGGCCGAGCUGUGCAAGAUUGAGGGCGCCAUGGCCCUGCGCGCUGUGUCCGGUCACCACAGCACGCCGAUGCCCCAUGACAGCAUGCCGCAGCACAAAGGACCCGUCUUCAGCUGGGAACACGACGUCGGCGUGGGUGAGGAAAAUGAUGUGAAGCUACCAAGCAACUAUGGAAGGCAGAGUGCAGAACCCAGAUUUUGGAACCCCGUCGCAGAAGAUCGCGCGGAAAAAUGCUGGAACCCGUGCAAAUGCAGGGUUAAUUCGGGUGAACAUAACUCAGCAUUUGAUGAACAUAAACUGCAGGAUUCCAGUGAGAAUGUUCCUCCAAAUAAAGCAUCGCCUGCGGAGAAGUGGGAACUGACAGGAAUAACCAUACCAGUUAAGAAGCCGAAGCCACCCAUGAGCCCCAGAAAAAGAAAGAAGCCACCCAUGAGAUGGACUUGCCCGGUGUGCCAGGUACAGGCAAAGUCUGCGCAUAAGCAUUGUGCUGGGAAGAAGCACCAGUCAAAUAUAGCAACAUUGGAAUCAAACAUUAAGGCCAUCAGUUAUCAGAAGCCACCUUUAGCAGGUUGCAGCAUUUGUCAAGUUAUGUGUGGCACCGAAUCAGAUCUUGAGAUCCACAUGAAAGGUAAAAGGCACUUAAAGAAGAUUCAAGCUCUAUUCGAAGAAAGCAAUAACAACUCAAUCAAUUCUGAGUCUCUGAAAGCAAACUUGAACACAGACAGCAGGAUGCUACAUGUGGAGAAAAUGAACUGUGGCCUAGACUUGGAGAACCAUCUCAGAGAUGAAAGACACCAACUGAAUGUUCGGACACUUUGCGAAACAGUCAACCAAGAGGAGAACAGUCCACCAGAAAUUGUCAAGGACCAAACACCAUCCUCAGAAUGGGAUUGUGUUAAGUGUCAGGCCAAAUGUAACUCUGAUGUCCAUUUUGAGAAUCACUGCAUAAGCAGAAAGCAUCAACAGAGGACCCAGGUGAUACUUAGCAAAGACGAUAUCACGAAAACAGGCAGGACCCAUGUGAUACUCAGUGAAGGCGAUGUCACGAAAAUGGGCAAUCUCCACAUGGAAGCAUCAUGCAAAGAAGGCAGUAACAAUGAUAUGGCAAGUAACAUUGCGCCACAGGAAGCAAAAUCGCAUGAGAGCAAUGUGCCAGAGCAUGCAGAGAAACCACCUUCAGUACAGAGUUGCAACAUUUGCCAAGGUAUCUGUAACUGCGCACCAGAUUUUGAUAUGCCGCAACAUGUGGAGGAGACGAGUUGCAAAUUAAGCUGGAAGAGCUACCUCAGACCCAGAGACGAGAGUCUCCAACUGAUGGAUGAUUGGGCCCUUCGCGAAAAAAUUAACCAAGAUAAAAGCAAUCCACCAGAAAUGUCCAAGGACCAAAUAUCAUCCUCAGAAUGGGAUUGCGCUACAUGCCAGGCCAAAUGUAACUCUGACCCUCAAACCGAGCAUCAGUGUAAAAGCGGAAAGCAUCAACAGAAGAUCGAUGUGACACUCCAUGAAGGUGAUAUUGCCGAAGUUAGCAGUCUCAAUGCAGCCCCAUGCAAAGAAGACAAUAACAGCCAUAUGGACGUUGCGCCAUGGAAAGCAAAAUCGGAUGAGUGCAUUGUGUCGCAGCAUGUAGAGAAGCCACCUUCAGUAUGGAGUUGCAGCGAUUGCCAAGUUAUCUGUGCCCGUGAAUCAGAUUUUGAGGUCCACCUGAAGCGUGAAAGGCACUUGAUGAAGAUUGGAGCCCUGCUUGAAGAAAGCAAGAACAUGGCAAUAGCCGAGUCACAGAAAGCAAACUUGUACCCGGACAGCAUGCCGCAGCAUGUGGAGAAAAUGAAUUGUAAAUUAGACUUGGAGAACAACCUCAGAGAUGAGGGACACCAACUAAAUAUUCGCUCCCCUUGCAAAGAAAGCAACCAAAUGAAAAACAAUCCUCCAGAAAUUGCCAACGACCAAGAACCACCCUCAGAAUGGGAUUGUGCUAUGUGUCAGGAAAAAUGUAACUCUGAAUCUCAGAUUGAGCAUCAUUGUGAAAGCAGAAGGAAUCAACAGAAGACCGACGUGAUACUCCGCGAAGGCGAUAUUGCGAUAGUGAACAGUCUCCACAUCGCAGCCUCAUGCAAGGAAGGCGAUAACAACAGCACGGGCAUUACACCACCGGAAGCAAAAUCAGACGAGAACAAUGUGCAGCAGCAUGCAGAGAAGCCACCUCCGGCAUGGGAUUGCAGCGAUUGCCAAGUUACGUGUAACCGCGAAUCAGAUUUGGUGUUCCACCUGAACGGUAAAAGGCACUUAAAGAAGUUUCGGGCCCUACUCGAAGAAAGCAAGAAUAAGGCAAUGAAUUCUGAGUCACAGACAGCAAACUUGAACCAGGACAGUGUGCCGCAGCAUGCAGAUAAAACAAAUUGCAAACCAAACUGGGAGAGCUACAUUAGACUCAGAGACGAGAAACACCAACUCAAUGUUCAGGCCCUUGGCGAAGCAAUCAACCAAGACAAAAACAGUCCGGCAAAAAAGGACCAGAUACUGUCCUCGGAAUGGGACUGCGCGAUGUGCCAGGCCAAAUGUAACUCUAAAGCUCAACUUGAGCAUCACUGCACAGGCAGAAAGCAUCAGCAGAAGACCCAGGUUGUACAUGGCGGAGGUGAUAUUGCAGAAGUAAGCAGUAGCAACGAUAUAGCGACGAACGUUGUGUCACGGGACGCAAAAUCGCAUGAAAAAAAUGUGCCACGGCAUGCAGAGAAGUCACCUUUAGUAGGUUGCAGCAUUUGCCAAGUUAUCUGUGGCCGCGAGUCAGAUCUAGAGAUCCACCUGAAGGCUAAAAGGCACUUAAAGAAGAUUCGAGCUCUAUUCGAAGAAAGCAAGAAGGCAAUCAAUUCAGAGUCUCUGAAAGCAAACUUGAACCGGGACAGCAGGCCGCCACAUGUGGAGAAAAUGAACUGUGACCUAGACUCGGAGAACCACCUUAGAGAUGAAAGACACCAACUGAAUGUUCGGACCCUUUGUGAAACAAUCAACCAAGAGGAAAGCAGUCCACCAGAAAUUGUCAAGGACCAAACACCAUCCAGAGAAUGGGACUGUGCUAUGUGCCAAGCCAAAUGUAACUCUAAAGCUCAUUUUGAGAAUCACUGCAUAAGCAGAAAACAUCUACAGAGGACCCAGGUGAUACUCAGCGAAGGCGAUAUCACGAAAAUGGGCAAUCUCCACAUGGAAGCAUCAUGCAGAGGCAGUAACACCGAUAUGGCAAGUAACGUUGCGUCACAGGAAGAAAAAUCGCAUGAGAGCAAUGUGCCAGAGCAUGAGUCACCUUCAGUAAAGAGUUGCAGCAUUUGCCAAGGUAUCUGUAACUGCGAAUCAGAUUUGGAUAUCCUCCUGAUGAGUAAAAGGAUCCGAGCUGUCGCAGAAGAAUGCAAGAACACGGCAAUGGGUUCUGAGUCACAGAAAGCAAUGUUGAAUCCAAACGACGUGCCACAACAUUUAGAGGAAACGAGCUGCGAAUUAAACUGGGAGAGCUACCCUAGACUCGGAGAUGAGAGACUCCAGCCGAUGGAUGAUCAGGCCCUUUUUCGAAGAAUUAACCAAGAUGAAAACAAUCCACCGGAAAUUACCAAGGAUCAAAUACCAUCCUCAGAAUGGGAUUGUGCUACAUGCCAGGCCAAAUGUAACUCCAAGGCUCAAUUUGAGAAUCACUGCAUAAGCAGAAAGCACCAAAGGAAGGCCCAGGUGAUGCUUGCCAGAGGCGAUUUGUCAUGA